Ornithorhynchus anatinus (platypus) is the source of this 138-nucleotide small nucleolar RNA. The record is from RefSeq and is a predicted model, not a curated record. NCBI's taxonomy places the organism in Eukaryota, Metazoa, Chordata, Mammalia, Monotremata, Ornithorhynchidae.
CCUCUCUCCGGAUCGUACCUGGAAAGUUUCCAGUACUCUACCUGUCUCGACCACGGGAGGGAGAGUCAAGCAGAUGCCUGUCCAUUCCAUUCCUAGCUUGGGCAGUGACUAGGGAAUGGAAGGCAAUCUGCUGCAAGU